CUACUAGUACUUUUUUUUUAUUUUAAUGUUUGUUAAAUUAUAAAAAAAAUUUCAGUUUUUUUUUUUUUUUUCCUGUCAUUCAAAAACCGUUAGGGUUCUGAUUAUAUCAUAUUUGUUAUACUCGGAACACCUCUAAAAUCCUCCUCCUUCCUUAUCCUCGGCCGCGUCUCCUCACCCUCCGCCGCCUCGCUCUCGCCCAUCUCUCUGUCCAUGCCCGCACACACAUCGUCGCCGGCCUCCGUCGCCUCGCCCUCCGCCUCGGCCUCGCCCUCCGCCUCGGCCUCGCCCUCCGCCUCUGCCUCGCCCUCGCCUACCUCUCUGUCCAUCCCCACCACACACACGCCCUCGCACGCCUCUGCCGCCUCACCCUCGGCCUCGCCCUCGCCCUAGCUCACCUCUCCGUCCACGCCCACCCCAAAGAGAUGAGAAAAAAUUUGAUCAUUUUGUCAGAGCAUACCUUCCUAUAAAUAUUUUUUAUUGUUUAAAGGGUAAAGUGUAGGUUUUUAAAUGACGGGGGGAAGUGAAAAAACGGAUAUUGAUAGGAAGAUUUUUUAUAAUUUAGCUUUUAGUAUUCUGUGGUUUAAAAUAGAGUUGAGUUAGAAUGCUAUCGAUAACAAACGAGUUCCGUUGUCAUUCAUUUGUUUUCGAUGAUAGAGCCUCCAAAUCGACGAUCGACAUUGUUGAAUAUAAUCUAUACCACUUGAAGUGUUUAGAAAUCAAAUUUCAUGCAUUUCCGAUAUUGUUUUCUUAUUCAUUAAGUGGACACAAAAAUUAACGGGUAAAAAUGGAUAAUUUUUAAAAAGUGAUGAUAGGAGUCUUGUAAUCAAGAUAAAGAGUAUAGAUCUUAUUUUAAAUAGUUUUAAAAAAAAUUUAACAAAAAUUUAAUUGAUUUGGACAUCUUUACACUGUUAAAGGAGAAAACGCCUCAUAUCGACCAUUAAAAUUAUAAAUUUGAAACCCUUUGAUCAUUAGACAAAUGAUGUCGAAAAGAUUUGAAAUUUUGAUUUCUAAAAACUUCAAAUGGUAUAGAUCAUAUUUAACGGAGCCAAUCGUCAAUUUGGAGGCUCCAUCAUCAAAAAUAAAUGGGCGGUAACGAAACUCGUUUGUUACAGAUAGCAUUCCAACUCAACUCGUUUAAAAUUUAUCACUUUAGUAUCUUGUAGUUUUAUUUUUCUUUUUUCGUUAUUCCUUAUAUUAAUUUUUCUAUUAAAUCAGCAACAAAGUUAAAACCAUGGGGUAUUAAAGUAAAAAUUCGGCAAAUUACAGUAUACUAAAGUGAAUAUUCGAUAAAACAUAGGUAGGGUAUCUAAAGGUUUUUUGUAUAUGAUUUAAUAAAAAAUUAACGGAUGUGCUAACGGAAAGAGAAAAAUAAAAUCAUGGAAUACACAAAAUAAUACACUUUAAACCACGUAGUACUGAAGUGCGAAAGCGCGAAACCACAUGGGUGGUAUUUGAAGUUUAUCCUAACAUUUAUUAUGAAUAAGAGUUCAAAUAAAAAAUAUUUUAUUUUUGAUAUUAGUGUUUAUAUAUAGU
This 1533-nucleotide long non-coding RNA is filed under the name Ananas comosus (pineapple). RNAcentral describes it as "long non-coding RNA (ACOM_LNC009443)". Lineage: Eukaryota; Viridiplantae; Streptophyta; Magnoliopsida; Poales; Bromeliaceae. The record is from RNAcentral.